GACGAACGCUGGCGGCGUGCUUAACACAUGCAAGUCGAACGGAAAGGCCCUGCUUUUGUGGGGUGCUCGAGUGGCGAACGGGUGAGUAACACGUGAGUAACCUGCCCUUGACUUUGGGAUAACUUCAGGAAACUGGGGUUAAUACCGGAUAGGAGCUCCUGCUGCAUGGUGGGGGUUGGAAAGUUUCGGCGGUUGGGGAUGGAUUCGCGGCUUAUCAGCUUGCUGGUGGGGUAGUGGCUUACCAAGGCUUUGACGGGUAGCCGGCCUGGGAGGGUGACCGGCCACAUUGGGACUGAGAUACGGCCCAGACUCCUACGGGAGGCAGCAGUGGGGAAUAUUGCACAAUGGGCGGAAGCCUGAGGCAGCAACGCCGCGUGCGGGAUGACGGCCUUCGGGUUGUGAACCGCUUUCGCCUGUGACGAAGCGUGAGUGACGGUAAUGGGUAAAGAAGCACCGGCUAACUACGUG
This 468-nucleotide ribosomal RNA is filed under the name uncultured bacterium. RNAcentral describes it as "partial 16S ribosomal RNA". It matches the Rfam family "Bacterial small subunit ribosomal RNA", at positions 28 to 507 of the family's 1533-position model. The record is from RNAcentral.